GAAAUGCGAUAAGUAAUGUGAAUUGCAGAAUUCCGUGAAUCAUCGAAUCUUUGAACGCACAUUGCGCCCUCUGGCAUUCCGGGGGGCAUGCCUGUCCGAGCGUCAUUACGCACCCUCAAGCCCGGCUUGUGUGAUGGGCCCUGGCGUCUCGUUCGCGAGACGGGCCCGAAAGGCAGCGGCGGCGUCGACCCGAUGAGCCCGAGCGUAUGGGGACUUUCGUCACACGUUUGCGGUGCGGACCGGCGCCUGCUUGACUUUUCUGAUUAUCCAGGUUGACCUCGGAUCAGGUAGGGAUACCCGCUGAACUUAAGC
Molecule: unclassified non-coding RNA, 312 nt
Filed under: plant metagenome
Description: partial contains 5.8S ribosomal RNA, internal transcribed spacer 2, and large subunit ribosomal RNA
Rfam family: 5.8S ribosomal RNA (bases 1-105)
Source: RNAcentral